AUCAAAAACACAAGUGAUUACAAGUGUUGGUAGGAUGUCGGGAGAAGAGGACCCUCGUGCAUUAUCUACAAAUAUUGAAUCAUAAAAAAAAGCAGCUCUUACUUAUUUUAUCACCAUUAGCAUCGUGAAGACAGUUGUUCAAUUCUGGUAAAUUCAGAGGAAUUUCCACUACCAUGAAAGAAAGAUGAUGUUAGCUAAUCAUAAUUGUCUCAUGGUGUUUGGUGCUACCCCAGACCAUCUUCAGAGAACUUCACAGAAUAUGAUCACUGGAAAAUUAAAGAGAGACAAAAUCACAGAUUCUUUCACUUCCAUGAGUAUGAUUGCAUUUGGGAAGCUUCUACGUAAAUGUGUCUUAAGGUUCGGACAUGGAUUUUUUUCUACAAUUAAAGACUAUGCCUACGUUAUGUAAAGUGGAAGACAGCAACAUCAGUAUUGCAGAAUUCUAGGGGCACAGUGGGAUACAAUAAACAACGUCUGAACCACAUUUACUCUGUGAACAGAAAGGAUAAAAAUACUG
This is a long non-coding RNA of Callorhinus ursinus (northern fur seal), 517 nucleotides long. RefSeq lists it as uncharacterized. The record is from RefSeq and is a predicted model, not a curated record. Lineage: Eukaryota; Metazoa; Chordata; Mammalia; Carnivora; Otariidae.